GAUGAAGAACGCAGUGAAAUGCGAUAAGUAAUGUGAAUUGCAGAAUUCAGUGAAUCAUCGAAUCUUUGAACGCACAUUGCGCCCGCCAGUAUUCUGGCGAGCAUGCCUGUUCGAGCGUCAUUUCAACCAUCAAGCCCCAGGCUUGUGUUGGAGCCCUGCGGCUGCCGCAGCCUCCCAAAACCAGUGGCGGGCUCGCUAUCACACCGAGUGCAGUAGUUUACUCUUCGCUCAGGGCGUGUGGCGGGUGCUAGCCGUGAAACCCCCAACUUCUCAAGGUUGACCUCGGAUCAGGUAGGAAUACCCGCUGAACUUAAGCAUAUCAAUAGCGGAGGA
Molecule: unclassified non-coding RNA, 333 nt
Filed under: soil metagenome
Description: partial contains 5.8S ribosomal RNA, internal transcribed spacer 2, and large subunit ribosomal RNA
Rfam family: 5.8S ribosomal RNA (bases 1-120)
Source: RNAcentral